Long non-coding RNA from Stylophora pistillata, 1954 nucleotides. The record is from RefSeq and is a predicted model, not a curated record. NCBI's taxonomy places the organism in Eukaryota, Metazoa, Cnidaria, Anthozoa, Scleractinia, Pocilloporidae.
ACGUGGACCGCAAACAGCGAACAUGACCGCUAGCGUCUGCUCACCUGAUUCGUAGCGGUUUGCGGUCAAACAUUUUCACAAAAGAAGGGGGAUCUAAAACUCUGUUUUCCCCAUUUACGCUGCUUACCGCGAACAGCUGACGAUCUUACGUAUAAAGAACCUUUAAACUGGUUAACUAGUCUCCAGGUUUCCAUGUACACUCACUCUAUGGUCAUGUUUACUGAUUUUCGCCUUAACUGACGGUUUCAAGUAUUUUGAUGUCUCAUUUUCUAAUGAAGUGGAUUUUCCUUAUAACCUGUACGUUAUUAUAUCAUUUGACGAGAAAGGUGAAGCUCAAAAGCAUGUCGUUCAUAGGCCUCAUAACCCACUGAGUUCGGGUUCAUAUAAUUUCCAGUAAGUACAUUUCUCUCGUUACACGUAUCAAACAAUUAGAGUUUAUCAACAUUAAUACUAACAAAGCCUGCAUAAGCAAGGAUACUCAAACCUUCACAAUCUGGUAAUGUUCUUUUUUCUUUUGUUUUCGUUUUUUUUUUUUUUUGGAGGGGGGAGGGAGGGAAGGUUACUCGUGUUGUUUACCAGGCUAUCACUUUCGGUUUUGCUACAUUUUGUUUUCUUGUGAUUUAUUAGAUUUGUUUUGUUUGUUUGUUUGCUUUUCUUGCGUGCCUAUAGGUGUAGGGAAUUUUUUAAUUUAUGAACCACAGCUGUUCAAACACUAUACCGGUGUCUUGUAUCACAGCAUGUGGGUUACCGGUUUACUCUUUGCUGACAUCUGGCGACAUUAUUGUAUCGUUCGAUUAUUCAUGACUGUAAUACAAUGAAAAGAAAGGAGUCUGAACCUAAAACAGCAACGUGAUUCUACAGAAACCGAAAUAUCUUUAAAGCGAAAUAUCCAAGAAAAACUAAUGAGGAAACCAGGGACAAAAAAAACCCAAACAAAACAAAACCACGAAAAGAAUGGUAAUAAUCACCGAAAAAUUAAGAUGAUAAUCACUAUAUGAUAACCGCAGCGACACAUAUCAAUCACUGAUUCAUGUAUGUUUUUACCAACCUUCCUUUGUUUUCGUGGUGUCAUUAGAUACCAUUAAACAGCCGAGAUAAGUUUUGCUUUUAUAAUUAUAAAAGCAAUGGCGACAUACAUGUGUUUCGUGCUCGUUGGUUCGGGAAUUGUUCGAACUGAUUGGGGAGACAUCUUAUCCAGUCACCAGGUUCGCCGGCUCUUAGAAGGUAGCGCAUUAACUAAAUGGAAGAAAAGUAUCGAAGUGCCCAGCCUUAAAUAGACCCUAACCUUCAGAUUAAAACUUGUUUGUGAAUUUUGGCGUUUAAAGCGUAAUACGGUUAACAUGGUUUGGUGCGCCAUUUAGUUCACGUUUAUGGAUGUUAGCCAAAACUUGAUUUAAUUUGUUCCUUCAAGAUCGCACCACGGCUAUAUGAAAGAGUCCAUUGUUUACGGUUUUGAUGGACUCCACCGGACUAAUAAUUACUGAAAAUUUUGAGCACGUUUGCAUUUGUUAUUAAUUGAUAUUGUUGACAGCAGGAGUGCAUGGUAAACAGCUAUAAGGGCUAGGAACAAUUAUCUGUUAGAGAGACGAUUUGUGCCCAAUCGCCUUACAACUUGAAACGUUGUCAGUUAAGUAAUGCUACUACGAACAUUUUGAACUGAAAAUGGAAGCAAGCCCGUGUAGAAAUGUUUGGAACACAACGGCCUUAGUAUCUCACAUGCGACCGAUAGGAAAACUAAAAUAUUGGGCAAUAUUUACUUUGGCAGUCGGGAGGAAGUUUUCGACAUGAAUACAUUUAUAACCGAAAUCUUAACUAGAUCUCUGCAGCCAGGUUAAACUUUUCACGACAAUAUUCAUCUCAUCAACUCCUUUAAUCAGAAAUAUUGUCUUGUGAAGGAGACGCUAUGCAAACAAAUACGGACUACUACUGGAAUUUCUGAGGACAGUAGUACUCU